Molecule: ribosomal RNA, 503 nt
Filed under: uncultured bacterium
Lineage: Bacteria
Description: partial 16S ribosomal RNA
Rfam family: Bacterial small subunit ribosomal RNA
Source: RNAcentral
AUUGAACGCUGGCGGCAGGCUUAACACAUGCAAGUCGAGCGGGGUGAUGGUGCUUGCACUAUCACUUAGCGGCGGACGGGUGAGUAAUGCUUAGGAAUCUGCCUAUUAGUGGGGGACAACAUCUCGAAAGGGAUGCUAAUACCGCAUACGUCCUACGGGAGAAAGCAGGGGAUCACUUGUGACCUUGCGCUAAUAGAUGAGCCUAAGUCGGAUUAGCUAGUUGGUGGGGUAAAGGCCUACCAAGGCGACGAUCUGUAGCGGGUCUGAGAGGAUGAUCCGCCACACUGGGACUGAGACACGGCCCAGACUCCUACGGGAGGCAGCAGUGGGGAAUAUUGGACAAUGGGGGGAACCCUGAUUCGGCCAUGCCGCGUGUGUGAAGAAGGCCUUAUGGUUGUAAAGCACUUUAAGCGAGGAGGAGGCUCUUUUGGUUAAUACCCAAGAUGAGUGGACGUUACUCGCAGAAUAGGCACCGGCUAACUCUGUGCCAGCCGCCGCCGUAA